UACAGAGGGUGCGAGCGUUGUCCGGAAUCACUGGGCGUAAAGGGCGCGUAGGCGGCUUUUCAAGCGUGCGGUGAAAGCUCGGGGCUUAACUCCGAGUCUGCCGUGCGAACUGGGAGGCUUGAGUCUGGUAGAGGUCGAUGGAAUUCCGGGUGUAGCGGUGGAAUGCGUAGAUAUCGUAAGGAAGACCAGUGGCGAAGGCGAAUCUCUGGACAGUUACUGACACUGAGGCACGAAGGCCAGGGGAGCAAACGGG
This 253-nucleotide ribosomal RNA is filed under the name uncultured bacterium. Its description in RNAcentral is "partial 16S ribosomal RNA". It matches the Rfam family "Bacterial small subunit ribosomal RNA", at positions 524 to 776 of the family's 1533-position model. The record is from RNAcentral.